GCAGCAAAACAAAACGGGGAGUGACGCUUCACGACCUUCAUUCUUGUCGACAGUUGUGGGAACAUCGAACUUUCGUAGAAGAUAACGUAAAGGAGGAGGUAUAGUGGCAUGGCGUCUCCUCUUCCGUCUUCUCUCCGCCUUAGUGGCAUCAACUGGUAUGACCACGUUUGGAGAGAUCUUGAGUCUUAGACAUGGAACCUCUUCG
This 205-nucleotide unclassified non-coding RNA is filed under the name Hevea brasiliensis (rubber tree). Lineage: Eukaryota; Viridiplantae; Streptophyta; Magnoliopsida; Malpighiales; Euphorbiaceae. The record is from RNAcentral.